Molecule: ribosomal RNA, 495 nt
Filed under: uncultured bacterium
Lineage: Bacteria
Description: partial 16S ribosomal RNA
Rfam family: Bacterial small subunit ribosomal RNA
Source: RNAcentral
GACGAACGCUGGCGGCGUGCCUAAUACAUGCAAGUAGAACGCUGAAGGAGGAGCUUGCUUCUCUGGAUGAGUUGCGAACGGGUGAGUAACGCGUAGGUAACCUGCCUGGUAGCGGGGGAUAACUAUUGGAAACGAUAGCUAAUACCGCAUAAGAGUAGAUGUUGCAUGACAUUUGCUUAAAAGGUGCAAUUGCAUCACUACCAGAUGGACCUGCGUUGUAUUAGCUAGUUGGUGGGGUAACGGCUCACCAAGGCGACGAUACAUAGCCGACCUGAGAGGGUGGUCGGCCACCCUGGGACUGAGACCCGGCCCAGACUCCUCCGGGAGGCAGCAGUAGGGAAUCUUCGGCAAUGGACGGAAGUCUGACCGAGCAACGCCGCGUGAGUGAAGAAGGUUUUCGGAUCGUAAAGCUCUGUUGUAAGAGAAGAACGAGUGUGAGAGUGGAAAGUUCACACUGUGACGGUAUCUUACCAGAAAGGGACGGCUAACUACGUG